Long non-coding RNA from Gadus macrocephalus (Pacific cod), 1213 nucleotides. RefSeq lists it as uncharacterized. The transcript has 3 exons. NCBI's taxonomy places the organism in Eukaryota, Metazoa, Chordata, Actinopteri, Gadiformes, Gadidae. The record is from RefSeq and is a predicted model, not a curated record.
UGUAGGGCCCUAUGAAAUCCGCGAUAACGAAAACGCGGACGGAAUCACGGAAUUGGACAAUAAAAACGGAAUCAACUGAUAAUUUAUUAUUAUUAUUAUUUAUUUUUUUAUUAUUAAGCAGGAAAGUAUUAAAAGUAACAAAGUUACAAUUUAAAACGGGCCUGUCUUAGUAAAAUAACUGAUUUCCAGCAGGUUCCUGUUCUUCAGCACAUAUAACAUGCAACAGGGGACAAGGCACAUCAGACGUCACAUUUACAAUAUGCAGCGGAAUGCAGCGGAAUUCGCCAUUAUUUUGGUGAAAUUCAGUUUUGAGGGAAAAGGGAAACAACACAGGUGACAUUAACGUCACUGAAUGUUUAGCAGUCACUCGCACAACAAUGUUAAAAAAAAAUCCCCGGUCCACCACGCAAACAAUAGGUCCCGCUCCUAACAAGAAGCCGAAGAAGAAGUUGAAGCGCCCGUAAUUCGGUUCUAACCCCAAAUUCAGAGCCGAACAAUAUCCAAAACACUUCUAUCACUCAGGUGUUUUGUAGAAUAUGUCAACAUACUAUCGAUUGGAAACGCAAAGAUACGUGCGAUGACCACUUGAAGUCCAAAAUCCAUAUGAAAAACAAUGAACGCCGUAGCCAGGGCACGCCCCUUCAAACAACAAUUUGAGUUUAUAAAAAAAGUUUAUAAGCACUUUAAUAUUUAUGUCAUGUUUUUAUUUGAAGCACUAAAAACAGUGCAAUGUUGUGAUGUUUUAAUAAAUGUAGUCUUCCAUCUGAUUAAAUUGUAUUCGUUCGCACUUAUUUGACACUCGUUCUGAUGAUUUUAAGUGUAAAAACGGAAUUAAUGAAAAUUAAAACGGAAAAAACGGAAUUUGGAAAAAAAUAAAAACGGAAUUUGGAAAAAAAUAAAACGGAUUUCAUAUGGCCCUAUACUUGUAUACAUAUUUUAUCAUUGUCAAUUCUUGGAAUAUCCCCUUACUUUAGAAAGACAUGCCAGUCCUCAGAAAAUGGUGGUGCACAGUACUGCUUGAGAACUUCCACCUGGAUGGGCACGGCAGAAGGUUCGCACACUUCACGGAGGAGGCCAAACAAAUGGCGGUUGGACUACUUCCACCAGUCUUCAGACUGAAGCGAAAGAGAGAAUGAGUUGGAGCUGAUGGCAGCAUGAAGAACCUAUAUCUUUAAGAUUCUGUAGAUUAUUUGUUUAAUAAAUUGUGAGGAAA